UAAUACGUAGGAUGCAAGCGUUGUCCGGAUUUACUGGGCGUAAAGCGCGCGCAGGCGGUCUUGUAAGUAUGGCGUGAAAUCUCCCUGCUCAACGGGGAGGGUGCGUUGUAGACUGCAGGACUUGAGGUCGGUAGAGGGGGGUGGAAUUGCUGGUGUAGCGGUGAAAUGCGUAGAGAUCAGCAGGAACACCCGUGGCGAAGGCGGCCCCCUGGGCCGUACCUGACGCUGAGGCGCGAAGGCUAGGGGAGCGACCCGGAUUAGAUACCCGGUUAGUCCUAGCAGUAAACGAUGGAUACUAGGUGUGGGGGGUGUUGACCCCUCCUGUGCCGAAGCUAACGCAUUAAGUAUCCCGCCUGGGGAGUACGGUCGCAAGACUA
RNAcentral lists this ribosomal RNA (377 nucleotides) under uncultured bacterium. RNAcentral describes it as "bacterial SSU rRNA". It matches the Rfam family "Bacterial small subunit ribosomal RNA", at positions 521 to 896 of the family's 1533-position model. The record is from RNAcentral.